RNAcentral lists this ribosomal RNA (870 nucleotides) under uncultured bacterium. RNAcentral's name for it is "bacterial SSU rRNA". It matches the Rfam family "Bacterial small subunit ribosomal RNA", at positions 56 to 931 of the family's 1533-position model. The record is from RNAcentral.
UGCAGUCGAGGGGUAUAGGUAGCUUGCUAUCUAGAGACCGGCGCACGGGUGCGUAACGCGUAUGCAAUCUACCUUUUACAGGGGGAUAGCCCAGAGAAAUUUGGAUUAAUACCCCAUGGUAUUAUGGAAUGGCAUCAUUCUGUAAUUAAAGUCACAACGGUAAAAGAUGAGCAUGCGUCCCAUUAGCUAGUUGGUAAGGUAACGGCUUACCAAGGCGACGAUGGGUAGGGGUCCUGAGAGGGAGAUCCCCCACACUGGUACUGAGACACGGACCAGACUCCUACGGGAGGCAGCAGUGAGGAAUAUUGGUCAAUGGGCGCAAGCCUGAACCAGCCAUGCCGCGUGCAGGAUGACGGUCCUAUGGAUUGUAAACUGCUUUUGUACGGGAAGAAACAGUUCUUCGUGAAGAACCUUGACGGUACCGUAAGAAUAAGGAUCGGCUAACUCCGUGCCAGCAGCCGCGGUAAUACGGAGGAUCCAAGCGUUAUCCGGAAUCAUUGGGUUUAAAGGGUCCGUAGGCGGUCUGGUAAGUCAGUGGUGAAAGCCCAUCGCUCAACGGUGGAACGGCCAUUGAUACUGCCAGACUUGAAUUUCCAGGAAGCAACUAGAAUAUGUAGUGUAGCGGUGAAAUGCUUAGAUAUUACAUGGAAUACCAAUUGCGAAGGCAGGUUGCUACUGGUGGAUUGACGCUGAUGGACGAAAGCGUGGGUAGCGAACAGGAUUAGAUACCCUGGUAGUCCACGCCGUANACGAUGGAUACUAGCUGCUGGGAGCAAUCUCAGUGGCUAAGCGAAAGUGAUAAGUAUCCCACCUGGGGAGUACGAACGCAAGUUUGAAACUCAAAGGAAUUGACGGGGGCCCGCACAAGCG